CGAAGGAUGCAAGCGUUAUCCGGAAUUAUUGGGUUUAAAGGGUGCGUAGGCGGACUGAUAAGUCAGUGGUGAAAGCCUGCAGCUUAACUGCAGAAUUGCCGUUGAUACUGUCAGUCUUGAGUACAGUUGAGGUAGCGGAAUGUGUCAUGUAGCGGUGAAAUGCUUAGAUAUGACACAGAACACCGAUUGCGAAGGCAGCUUGCUAAGCUGUAACUGACGCUGAGGCACGAAAGCGUGGGGAGCAA
RNAcentral lists this ribosomal RNA (245 nucleotides) under uncultured bacterium. RNAcentral describes it as "partial 16S ribosomal RNA". It matches the Rfam family "Bacterial small subunit ribosomal RNA", at positions 526 to 771 of the family's 1533-position model. The record is from RNAcentral.